This 76-nucleotide microRNA precursor is filed under the name Nomascus leucogenys (northern white-cheeked gibbon). RNAcentral's name for it is "miRNA (ENSNLEG00000027328.1)". Lineage: Eukaryota; Metazoa; Chordata; Mammalia; Primates; Hylobatidae. The record is from RNAcentral.
AGGCUGGCAUGGGCCGAGGGCAGGAGGCCUGUGGGCCGGUCCCAGGCCUCCUGCUUCCUGGGCUCAGGCUCAGUUU